CCUUAAGGGGUUAAAGGGACGCUAUAGUAACUGAAACAACUACAGCUUAAUGUCAAUUGGACAAAUUUGAAAAUAUUGAUCAGUGUGAGAUCCUUUUUUUUUAAAGCUGUAGGUGUUUAUUUAAAUUCUUUAUGGUUGUGUAUAGACUUUCUGAGAGCUACUUUUAAAUAGUAUAUAUUCAACCUAAAAGGAAAGAGGAUGAAAGGUUAAAAACUACAGGUGAAGUAAAAUAUACAUUAAUGUAAAGUCCAAACUGAGAAGGUCCCCCAGGUCACUUGAAGAACCUGUAGCUUUGAGACCACAUCUAGUCUCCACUUCACAAUUAAACAACAUUUUAUAGGAUUUCUGUUGCUGGCCUUUAACAAUUAAACCUGUAGAUUUUUCCUUUUAUGUAGAUUGACCAAAAAAAAAAAAAAAAAAACACAUCAAAACCCUGCAGUAAGUAUAUUGUGAUUUCUCAAUUUAAAAAUUAUCCAAGCUACCUAACUGCUGCAUAAAUGGAUUAUUGUGAUAUAAGAUCCCCUGUCUCGCUCCUCUUGGUUUCGUAUAGUUACAUUUGCAAAAAAAUGGCUUGUGUCGCCUAGUACACCGUUUUGUUCUCUCAUUUUUAAAAAAAAAUUUUUGUGAUGUGAUUGAAAUGGCAGCGAUGAUUGGCACUAAAAUUCUCAUUUAUUCCUGGUUUGGUGAGACCUAGCAGAAGUUGUAAAUGCUGUGUUUUUGCAUCAGUGCAGGAUAGUUAAUUUUACAUUUUUUUUGUCUUCAUUUAAACAAUUGUGGUGAGUGCCAUCCUCGAAUGUCUUGUAGCCAUAACUUCGAAUGCAUUGGAGAAAAGGAUAAGCGCUCAACAACUACACCAAAUUAUAAAAUAGGCAGCUCACUGGAAAUUAGGCACUUCCCUCAAAAGGAAAAUCUAAGGAAACCAGUAGUGUAGUGCCAUAGAGAUGUUUAUAACCACACGUGAAAUUGGAAUAAUGUGUUGUCAGUAAAGAGACAAUCCUCAGAGUUCGCUUUUAGAUUAAAACGUAAAGAAGUCGAAUGGGAGGAGAUGUAAUAAAGAGAAUUACACGCUUUGUAACCUUUUCAUUUAUUUAGCGCAUAUCCAUGUGUAAGUAAAGGAAUUGCCCAAAUACAAAAAUUGUCUAAUUGAGUAGGUUUAAGGAGGAUUACAGAAAUCUUAACAAAAAAACACUAUGGGCACCAUAACUUAAUUGUUAUGACAUUAUGGUGCCAAGAGGUCCCUGAUGCUGGCUUCUCUCUAUGGGCUAACCUCAAAGCCCAGAUUGCUCUGCCCCCCGUCCUUCUGCUGCUCAUAUUCUUAAAGUGAAAGCUGCAGCUAAUGGCGCCCCUUAUUGGCUGAGUGUCAGAUGACACUCUAAGCCAAUCAGUAUCUCACCACCCACAAAACGGCUUGAGGGACAUACGUACAUAUUUUUCUCAAGUAGUUUUGUGAAUGGGGGCUCGUGGUGUCAUCUUGAACAUAAUUAUACACAUUUUUGAUUAUACUAAAAUUUCUAUAUGUACUUUAGGUUUUACCUAGACAUAGGGCAGGCAACCUUCGGCACGCCAGAUGUGGAUUACCUCUCCCCUGAUGUUUUGAGAGCAUUAUGGCUGUAAGAACAUUAUGGGAGAUGUAGUUGACAAUGUCUGGAGUGCCAAAGGAUCCUGACCUCGACCUUUCAGUUUUUUCCUUUUUUUUUUUUUUUAAUGGUUUACACAUUCCAUGUUCUUCUGCACUUAAUAUUUAUAGGUUAUUUGCAACAAUUGCUACAUUUUGACUGUACUGUAAAGGAGCUGUGUAUUUUAAUCAUCUGUAGCUAUAUAUGUAUUUUAUUAUUUUUAAAUGUGCAUCUUUGGGGAAAAAUGCAAACUUUUAAUAAAGAAACAAUUCGUGCACCAUAACCACUACAGCCCACUGUAGUGUUUAUGGUGCCAUGACGGCUUGUGUGAGUUUCACAGGGUGCACGGCUGAGGGAUUCUUUUCAUAGAAUGCAAAGAACCCGACCCAGGUGACAUAAGAGGAUUUAUAUGCACAUAUUGCUUUCACCUAAAGCUUAAUUUAUAACAGCCAGUUAGUUGUCGUGAUUGCAACAUGGGGGAGGGAUAUCUUUUUAAUGUUUGAUCAAAAGAAAAACCGAACCUGGUUGCGGGGAGGGGUUUAUUUUUAAUUUAUUUUUUUUUAAUUGCAAAUUUAUUUUUAAAUGUAUUUCUCGUUUGACUUUGGUUACUAUACUGGGUGCUGGCUUCUCAGUAAUCUGCACUUCUAGAUCAUUUAUUGCUAUAACUUAUAUAAUGUAUUUAUAUGAAAGGAUUUCCCUAAAGCACUGAAGGCAGCAAUGUGAGUGUUGUUUGCAUUAAGCACACUGGGGUGACAUUUAUUACAAAGAGAUUCAGAUAAAAUGUUUACAAUGUCACUAGAGUUCUUCAACUUGUUUUCAUGUAACCUGUUUACAUUUUCUGUAUGAGUAUUGUGAGUUACAAUGAUAGACCAGACUUGGCUCUGCUUCCAAUUCCUCCCUCUACGCGUAUAGCUGCAUUGGAGAGCGAUUAAUCUGCAUGACACAUUCUGUCACAGAGUGAGUGUAAAUCCGUUUGCUAUUCUUCUGUAGAAGGUGUGUAUUUAUGUUUUACAUAGGCCUGUUGAUAACCCUUUCCCUUAAAUCUUAUUCCUGGUUGAUUACAGUUACUAUAACCCUGCCUUUUUGACUGUAGCUCUCUGACUACAUAUCGAACUUCAGAAAGUCACUGGUUAGAACCCCAUGUGCUCUGGGUUCUUAUUCUCACCCAACGUUCUGCUUUAGCUGAUCCCAGUGAAUGCCAUUCUACCAAGAGCUGCUUUGAGGAUAAUGAAUUGCAUAGCCGCACAGUUUGAAUAGCACAAGAUGACUGUCUUUAGAAUGAAACAUUUAGUAUUUAGAACUUGGCUAAGCUUUUAUUUUUUGUAUUUUUUUUUUCAUGAUGUGUUAGAUUGUUUUUUUUUUUUUUUUUUUUUUUUCUAGAAUUUCUACACAAUGCAAAUAUUCUAAGUAUUGUCCAAUACACUAUAAUACUGUCCAUGCUUUGUCCUAACCAGAUAUUUGCAUUGUGUGGUCCUCAAACUAUUAGAUUACAGCAUAGUGAACUUUUUUUUUUUUUUUAUAGCAAUGGCAUUUUUCACACCUUGAGACAAUAUUGUACAUGUAAUAUGCAUAUCUUGUGCUGGUCAUAAAGACCCUGGCUCCUACAUUUUGCACACUGUGUAUUAUUUGUAAAGUGUUUGGCAGCCGCACAUGGCUCCUGUGAGUACUUCGAAGUGUUGGGCAUCCUUCCUUUAACGCAAAGUAUUCAGUGGAUUUAUGAAUAUAUCAGCAUUAACAUCCAGGUGGGAAAAAAUCUCAAAUAUACCAACGUGCAAAGUGUCCUUUUUUGGAAAGUAAAAAAAACAAAACAAACGUUUACAUCUGCUUUGAAAGAUGAUAUUCUCCUCAUUACUCCCAUAAUGCAGUGCAGCAUUCACCAAAUCAUGGCAUGCUGCUUAUUGCCUUGUCGUGAGAACAUCAUUUUGUUUCGUUUUUUUACAUUAACAUCAGUAAAUCUUAGAAUGUGUAUAGUAUAUACAUGUAUUACAUGUGUGUCUUCAGGUGAGCAUAAUGAUGAGCUUUGUUACUAAUUUUAUUUUUGCUAUAAAGAGUUUCUAUUGUCUUAUUUAUUGGAAACAUUCUAAAUUGUGAACUACUGUUGUUACAUGAGUAUGUUUACAGUUUGUGUUUGAAAAGCUUUGUUUUUGUUUUUUCAUUUGCCUGUCCUUUGUGUUUGUUAAAUUCUCACCUCGCUAUUGUGGCUAAACUGAUAUUACAUUAUUCCCUCCGAGAGCAAACAUAAAAUAAAAUUUUAGGUGAAAAUCACAA
Molecule: long non-coding RNA, 3884 nt
Filed under: Pelobates cultripes (western spadefoot toad)
Lineage: Eukaryota; Metazoa; Chordata; Amphibia; Anura; Pelobatidae
Source: RNAcentral